AAGUCGUAACAAGGUUUCCGUAGAUGAACCUGCGGAAGGAUCAUUAUCGUAAAACCGAGGUGCGAGGGCUGUCGCUGACCUUUUCGGUCGUGCACGCCCGAGUGCUCUCACACAAUCCAUCUCACCCCUUGUGCACCACCGCGUGGGUCCCUCUCCGGCUCCUCCGGAGGGGGGCUCGCGUUUUCACACAAACUUGAAGUAGUGUAGAAUGUCCUUUUUUGCGAUAACACGCAAUCAAUACAACUUUCAACAACGGAUCUCUUGGCUCUCGCAUCGAUGAAGAACGCAGCGAAAUGCGAUACGUAAUGUGAAUUGCAGAAUUCAGUGAAUCAUCGAAUCUUUGAACGCACCUUGCGCCCCUUGGCAUUCCGAGGGGCACACCCGUUUGAGUGUCGUGAAAUUCUCAAAACCCUUUCUCUUGGUCAUUUUCGACCAUCGAAAGGAUUUUGGACUUGGAGGCCUUUUUGCUGGUUUCACCUUGAAGCGAGCUCCUCCCAAACGUAUUAGUGGGGUCUGCAUUGUCGGUCCUUGGCGUGAUAAGUUGUUUCUACGUCUUGGAUUUUUGGCGCUGUACACCUGCUUCUAACCGUCUCAUUGACAACGAUGGUGUUCCGGUCGCCGCCGAUUUUUCGGUGGGGGGCUUGGACCCACGAAACAAACCUUGACCUCAAAUCGGGUGAGUCUACCCGCUGAACUUAAGCAUAUCAAUAAGCGGAGGAAAAGAAACUAACAAGGAUUCCCCUAGUAACUGCGAGUGAAGCGGGAAAAGCUCAAAUUUAAAAUCUGGUGGCCUCUGGUCAUCCGAGUUGUAAUUUAGAGAAGCGUCUUCCGCGCUGGACCGUGCACAAGUCUCCUGGAAUGGAGCGUCAUAGAGGGUGAGAAUCCCGUCUUUGGCACGGAUCCCGGGGCUUUUGUGAUGCGCUCUCGAAGAGUCGAGUUGUUUGGGAAUGCAGCUCAAAAUGGGUGGUGAACUCCAUCUAAAGCUAAAUAUUGGCGAGAGACCGAUAGCGAACAAGUACCGUGAGGGAAAGAUGAAAAGCACUUUGGAAAGAGAGUGAAACAGUACGUGAAAUUGUUGAAAGGGAAACGCUUGAAGUCAGUCGCGUCGUCCGAGACUCAGCCUCGCCUCGGCUUGGUGUACUUCUCGACCGACGGGUCAGCAUCAAUUUUGCCCCUUGGAUAAUGGCGUGGGAAAUGUGGCACCUUUGCGGGUGCGUUAUAGUCCCUCGUCGCAUGCAAGGGUCGGGAUUGAGGAACUCAGCACGCGCCUUUCGGCGUCGGGGCCUUUGCCCACGAUACGUGCUUAGGAUGUUGGCGUAAUGGCUUUAAACGACC
Molecule: ribosomal RNA, 1335 nt
Filed under: uncultured fungus
Lineage: Eukaryota; Fungi
Description: eukaryotic LSU rRNA
Rfam family: Eukaryotic large subunit ribosomal RNA (bases 663-1335)
Source: RNAcentral